AAAAAAGCAAGCGUUGUUCGGAAUUACUAAGCGUAAAGGGCACGUAGACGGUCCCACAAGUCUUUCGUGAAAUCCCACAGCUCAACUGUGGAAUUGCGAAGGAAACUGCGGGACUUGAGUCCGGGAGAAGAGAGUGGAAUUCCCAGUGUAGCGGUGAAAUGCGUAGAUAUUGGAAGGAACACCGGUGGCGAAGGCGGCUCUCUGGACCGACACUGACGCUGAAACGCGAAAGCUAGAAAAGCAAACAGGAUUAGAUACCCCAAUAAUCCUAGCCCUAAACGAUAAACACUUGGUGUAGCAAAUAUCGACCCCUACCGUGCCAAAACUAACGCAUUAAGUGCUCCGCCUAAAAGUACAGUCGCAAGGCUG
RNAcentral lists this ribosomal RNA (369 nucleotides) under uncultured organism. Its description in RNAcentral is "partial 16S ribosomal RNA". It matches the Rfam family "Bacterial small subunit ribosomal RNA", at positions 528 to 896 of the family's 1533-position model. The record is from RNAcentral.